RNAcentral lists this ribosomal RNA (480 nucleotides) under uncultured bacterium. RNAcentral describes it as "partial 16S ribosomal RNA". It matches the Rfam family "Bacterial small subunit ribosomal RNA", at positions 28 to 507 of the family's 1533-position model. The record is from RNAcentral.
GACGAACGCUGGCGGCGCGCCUAACACAUGCCAGUCGAGCGAUGAAAUUUUAACCGAUCUCUUCGGAGAGAAGAUAAAAUGGAUUAGCGGCGGACGGGUGAGUAACACGUGAGAAACCUGCCUUUCACAAGGGGAUAGCCUCGGGAAACCGGGAUUAAUACCCUAUGACACAUUUCCUUCGCAUGGAAGAAAUGUUAAAACUCCGGUGGCGAAAGAUGGUCUCGCGCCUGAUUAGCUAGUUGGUGGGGUAACGGCCCACCAAGGCCAUGAUCAGUAACCGGCCUGAGAGGGUGAACGGGCACAUUGGAACUGAGACACGGUCCAAACUCCUACGGGAGGCAGCAGUGGGGAAUAUUGCACAAUGGAGGAAACUCUGAUGCAGCGACGCCGCGUGAGCGAUGAAGGCUUUCGAGUCGGAAAGCUCGGUCCUAUGGGAAGAUAAUGACGGUACCAUAGGAGGAAGCCCCGGCUAACUACGUG